RNAcentral lists this ribosomal RNA (900 nucleotides) under uncultured bacterium. RNAcentral describes it as "bacterial SSU rRNA". It matches the Rfam family "Bacterial small subunit ribosomal RNA", at positions 81 to 977 of the family's 1533-position model. The record is from RNAcentral.
GCACCUGGUGGCGAGUGGCGAACGGGUGAGUAAUAUAUCGGAACAUGUCCGGAAGUGGGGGAUAACGUAGCGAAAGUUACGCUAAUACCGCAUAUGCCCUGAGGGGGAAAGGGGGGGAUCGCAAGACCUCUCGCUUUCGGAGUGGCCGAUAUCGGAUUAGCUAGUAGGUGAGGUAAAGGCUCACCUAGGCGACGAUCCGUAGCGGGUCUGAGAGGACGACCCGCCACACUGGAACUGAGACACGGUCCAGACUCCUACGGGAGGCAGCAGUGGGGAAUUUUGGACAAUGGGCGCAAGCCUGAUCCAGCCAUACCGCGUGAGUGAAGAAGGCCUUCGGGUUGUAAAGCUCUUUCAGCCGGAAAGAAAUCGCGUUUAUUAAUACUAAGCGUGGAUGACGGUACCGGAAGAAGAAGCACCGGCUAACUACGUGCCAGCAGCCGCGGUAAUACGUAGGGUGCGAGCGUUAAUCGGAAUUACUGGGCGUAAAGCGUGCGCAGGCCGUUUUGUAAGACAGAUGUGAAAUCCCCGGGCUCAACCUGGGAACUGCAUUUGUGACUGCAAGACUAGAGUGUAGCAGAGGGGGGUAGAAUUCCACGUGUAGCAGUGAAAUGCGUAGAGAUGUGGAGGAAUACCGAUGGCGAAGGCAGCCCCCUGGGCUAACACUGACGCUCAUGCACGAAAGCGUGGGGAGCAAACAGGAUUAGAUACCCUGGUAGUCCACGCCCUAAACGAUGUCGACUAGGUGUUGGGGAAGGAGACUUCUUUAGUACCGCAGCUAACGCGUGAAGUUGACCGCCUGGGGAGUACGGUCGCAAGAUUAAAACUCAAAGGAAUUGACGGGGACCCGCACAGCGGUGGAUUAUGUGGAUUAAUUCGAUGCAACGCGAAAAACCUUACCCU